RNAcentral lists this small RNA (1264 nucleotides) under Pan troglodytes (chimpanzee). RNAcentral describes it as "retained intron". The record is from RNAcentral. Lineage: Eukaryota; Metazoa; Chordata; Mammalia; Primates; Hominidae.
ACAGAUGAGAAAACUGAAACAUUGAGAAGUCAAGUAACUUGCUCAAGAUUAUAUAGCUAGUGCAUAGAGGGGCAAAGAUUUGAACCAGACUGCCUGGUUCCACAUGCACUUUAACCUGCUUUAUUUAGGCUUUUGAAAGCAACCUAAAUAGCUAACAUUCGCUAAAUAAGUGCAGUAUACCUGGUCUGUGUGACAUUAAUUAAAAAGUGACAGGUAUUAAAAAGUGAACAUUCUGAACCCUUUUAGCAACAUGGCAAAUACUUCUGAUGUGAUGUAUGCAUAUAAAUAUGAUCAAAAGCAAAUAUCCCAAAAGGUUAAUGGCAGUUAUGUCAGGUUAGUAGCACAAUAGUUUCUUUUCUCAUUUUCUCACAUUUUUAGUAAUGUGUGUUGCCUAUAUUAAAAAACAAAUAUUAAAAAGUAGUAGCAUGUAUUAGAUCAGAGCAUGGGCUCAGACUGCCUGUGUCAUCUCUUAUUAGACGUAUGACCAGGGACAAGUUAUUGACCUUUUGUUUCUAAGUCUCUAAGUUUGUCCUGUAAAAUGAAGAUAAUUGUAGUAACUACCUAAUAACAUGAUUGUAAGGAUUAAAUUAUUUAGAACACUAUUUGUUACUUGGAAAAUAUGCAAUCAUAAGCUAUUUUGUUGUUAUUGUUAUUUUACUACCAAAGCUUAUUGUUUCAGAGCCCCUAGGUGACCAGGCAAAAUGGCAGUUCCCUCCAGCUGGUCCUCAGAUGGGCACAUCUAUUAGCCUCUGCUCUUGUAAGAAGUUAGCUGCAGAACCCACAUGUGAAUCCUUGUAGGACUCUGGAGAAGAUCAAAUGGGAGCUUAGAUGUGGAAGCUCUUUGGAAACCAAGAAACACUCUGCAAAUGAAAAGGGUGGAAGAGUAAACUGUUCCUGUUUCUCCAUCUUGACAGGAAGCAGAAGUUCUCCUUAGCUGAUUUUUCUUCUUGCCUUAUACUGGGUUCUUUAACACCAGAACAAAAAUAAAUAAAUAAAAGAAUCUUCCAGAAAUUCAUGAAGAGACUUCAGGUCAGGAAAGCCUGAACUUUCUCAUCCAACACCUGUUCAAGUCGGAGGAUGCUGAUUAAUUCAUGAUGGAAAGGUAUCAAUUUCACAGCCCAGACCUCUACAUUCUUGAAAUGCUCUUCUCAUGGGAGACAUUAAAUAAGCUUUGAAUUAACUGAAGAACCAAUGAUGUGAUCCCUGGAUACUGGCAAUUGUUGCCCAAGAAACCCUCUCCCCUUGCUAUGGGAGUGCUGGGCAC